RNAcentral lists this non-coding RNA (218 nucleotides) under Sphingobium indicum UT26S. Lineage: Bacteria; Pseudomonadati; Pseudomonadota; Alphaproteobacteria; Sphingomonadales; Sphingobiaceae. The record is from RNAcentral.
CGCUCCAUCGAUCGCGUCGGUGCCCCGCAAGGGGCUUAAAUGGGAACGCGGUGCGGGAGGAUGCUCCCUAAUCCGCGGCUGUCCCUGCAACUGUGAGCGGCGAGCAAGGCAAGGACGGCCUCCCGAGCGGGCGGCCAGCCACUGGAGCGAUCCGGGAAGGCCCCUGCCGAAGCUAUGACCCGCAAGCCAGGAGACCUGCCGAACGCAAGGGUCGCUCU